ACUGCAAGUGACACCAAAGUUGAAAAGAACUUUGAAGAGAGAGUUCAAGAGGGUGUGAAACCAUUAAGAGGUAAACUGGUGGGGUCCACGCAGUCCACCCAGAGGAUUCAACCCGGCGGCGGCCCUUGGAUGGUAUGAGGCCGGUAGUGGCCCCCAGCGCGCUGGGCCCGCUUCUUCCCAGAGUUGGGUUGCUUGGGAAUCCAGCCCAAAGCAGGUGGUAAACUCCAUCUAAGGCUAAAUACCGGCAUGAGACUGAUAGUCAACAAGUACCAUAAGGGAAAGUUGAAAAAAACUUUGAAGAGAGAGUUCAAGAGGGCGUGAAACCAUUAAGAGGUGGGGGGGGCCCAAGUCCUUCUGAUCAAGG
This 364-nucleotide non-coding RNA is filed under the name Erinaceus europaeus (western European hedgehog). RNAcentral's name for it is "Eukaryotic large subunit ribosomal RNA". It matches the Rfam family "Eukaryotic large subunit ribosomal RNA", at positions 1 to 449 of the family's 3401-position model. Lineage: Eukaryota; Metazoa; Chordata; Mammalia; Eulipotyphla; Erinaceidae. The record is from Rfam by way of RNAcentral.